Molecule: ribosomal RNA, 881 nt
Filed under: uncultured archaeon
Lineage: Archaea
Description: SSU rRNA
Rfam family: Archaeal small subunit ribosomal RNA
Source: RNAcentral
AGGUCAUUGCUAUUGGAGUCCGAUUUAGCCAUGCUAGUUGUACGAGUUUAGACUCGUAGCAAAUAGCUCAGUAACACGUGGCCAAACUACCCUAUCGAGCACGAUACUCUCGGGAAACUGAGGUUAAUAGUGCAUACGGCUCGCUGCCUGGAGUGGCGCGAGCUCGAAAUGCUCAGGCGCGAUAGGAUGUGGCUGCGGCCGAUUAGGUAGACGGUGGGGUAACGGCCCACCGUGCCGAUAAUCGGUACGGGUUGUGAGAGCAAGAGCCCGGAGACGGUAUCUGAGACAAGAUACCGGGCCCUACGGGGCGCAGCAGGCGCGAAACCUUUACACUGCACGAGAGUGCGAUAAGGGGACUCCAAGUGCGAGGGCAUAUAGUCCUCGCUUUUUCCGACCGUAGGAUGGUCGGCGAAUAAGUGCUGGGCAAGACCGGUGCCAGCCGCCGCGGUAAUACCGGCAGCACGAGUGAUGACCGCUAUUAUUGGGCCUAAAGCGUCCGUAGCUGGCCACGCAAGUCCAUCGGGAAAUCUCCCCGCUCAACGGGGAGGCGUCCGGUGGAAACUGCAUGGCUUGGGACCGGAAGAUCCAGAGGGUACGUCUGGGGUAGGAGUGAAAUCCUGUAAUCCGAGACGGACCACCGGUGGCGAAAGCGCUCUGGAAAGACGGAUCCGACGGUGAGGGACGAAAGCUCGGGUCACGAACCGGAUUAGAUACCCGGGUAGUCCGAGCUGUAAACGAUGUCUGCUAGGUGUGGCACAGGCUACGAGCCUGUGCUGUGCCGUAGGGAAGCCGUGAAGCAGACCGCCUGGGAAGUACGUCUGCAAGGAUGAAACUUAAAGGAAUUGGCGGGGGAGCACUACAACCGGAGGAGCCUGCGGUUU